RNAcentral lists this ribosomal RNA (509 nucleotides) under uncultured bacterium. RNAcentral describes it as "partial 16S ribosomal RNA". It matches the Rfam family "Bacterial small subunit ribosomal RNA", at positions 28 to 506 of the family's 1533-position model. The record is from RNAcentral.
GACGAACGCUGGCGGCGUGCUUAACACAUGCAAGUCGAACGAAGAGCGAUGGAAGCUUGCUUCUAUCAAUCUUAGUGGCGAACGGGUGAGUAACGCGUAAUCAACCUGCCCUUCAGAGGGGGACAACAGUUGGAAACGACUGCUAAUACCGCAUACGAUCUAAUCUCGGCAUCGAGGAUAGAUGAAAGGUGGCCUCUACAUGUAAGCUAUCACUGAAGGAGGGGAUUGCGUCUGAUUAGCUAGUUGGAGGGGUAACGGCCCACCAAGGCGAUGAUCAGUAGCCGGUCUGAGAGGUGAAACGGCCACAUUGGGACUGAGACACGGCCCAAACUCCUACGGGAGGCAGCAGUGGGGAAUCUUCCGCAAUGGACGAAAGUCUGACGGAGCAACGCCGCUUGGGGGAUGACGGCCUUCGGGUUUUAAAGCUCUUUUAAUCGGGACGAAAGGCCUUCUUGCGAAUAGUGAGAAGGAUUGACGGUACCGGAAUAGAAAGCCACGGCUAACUACGU